Molecule: long non-coding RNA, 349 nt
Filed under: Androctonus crassicauda
Lineage: Eukaryota; Metazoa; Arthropoda; Arachnida; Scorpiones; Buthidae
Source: RNAcentral
CACAGGGAAAUAGGGAGCAACAGUGAGAGGCCCAUUAUUGUAUUUGUGUCCCCUUUCUUCCUCACAGACUUCCUUGUACCCCUUACCUAUACCCACCCAUUCCUGUACUCAGCAUAGAAGGCACACAGAUGAGAGGGAGCACAUGUCAAUUCAAGAUUUUUUUUAUCCAGGAGAGUUGAGGGUGUGCAGUAGACUUGAAUGCCUGCUCCACCCAGUGCCUGUGGGUAAGGUCUUCUGCAGGGCCCAGUGCACUAACAUGGAGCUGAGCAGAGAGGCCUAGGUGGGGUUAGGCAGGAGGGCAGGGAUGGGAUAGUCAGGGGAACUGCAGGGCAGGGCCUCUGGGCAGAAG